Herpailurus yagouaroundi (jaguarundi) is the source of this 2154-nucleotide long non-coding RNA. RefSeq lists it as uncharacterized. The transcript has 2 exons. The record is from RefSeq and is a predicted model, not a curated record. NCBI's taxonomy places the organism in Eukaryota, Metazoa, Chordata, Mammalia, Carnivora, Felidae.
CAAGUGCCUGACAAGCACAACCUGUUCGGAUUUUGGCUUCACUUCCCCUCUCCUGCUUUGGGGGGUGCUAAUGUGACUUGAUGCAAAGAGCUUUACGAUUGAUGGGGGCGGGGCCUUGGUGGGGCUGUGCUGAGGUGAAUGGAGGUGCCCCCUGUUUCUGGGAAAUCACGCUGUUUUGUUUUGUUUUGUUUUGUUUUGUUUUGUUUUGUUUGCAGAGUCUUGCAAUGGUCAUGAGAACAAAACCUGAGGCUAAGAGGCUCUUGGGGGUUGAAGCUCAGGCCCUUGGUGUGGCAAGGAGACAGCAGCACUGCAAAACGAGAAUAAGGAGAGCACCGCGUUGUCACCUGAUCCGAGUCUCCAGAGUGUCCUUCUCAAUCUCCGGUGAGUGGUGGCACAAGGCUCCGCCAGGCGGAGGGCACCCAGUGGAAAAUUCCCAGCUCCAGUCACCUGAACGAAGAGAGGCACUCUCGCCUCUCGUGUGGCUCGGAGGUUUCCAGGGAGAAACGGGAGGAGGAAAGCAAAUGCUUCAGGCCGCUGCCUCGGGCCUGGACAGUGGUGCGUGUGACCGGAGCUGGGAGGAGACGGGUGACCCACAUAGCCCUGGUCCGAAUGCAUAAGCAUCAAAAAUCGCAGAACGGAGUCGGCCCACGAGCGCCUGAGCUUUCUCCGUGGAAAACGUGCUCCUAUUUAUGAUGCUGACACAGCCAACUCGGCUGCCCCGGCUUUCACUUGUUCGUUCAACAACCGUCUCCUAAGCGUCUGCCACGUGCUGGCCGUGGACUAGCUGGGCAGAUGAGAAAACCAAGGCUCAAGGAAGCGAAGAGCUUUGCCUGAGGUCACACAAGAGCUGGCAGAGAACCUCAGAUUCAGGGCGAGCCUCCAGCCUUCACAACCAGACCCCUCCAGGGAUAAAGAGCUGCCUUUCGGCACCCAAGCGGGAAGAUAAAUGUCAGUCAAAAGUGCUUCCUGCUUCUUCCCAGAAAGAUGAAACUGGAAACUGCUUCCCCUCUCACUACUUACAAAAUGUAUGUCGUGAGCAACUGAGUUUGGGAACUCCGCUCAGGCUGGGAACUUUUCUGCUUUGUUGAAUAGCAGAGAUCGCCGCAGAAUCUACUCGGCCUUCGCUACCUUGACACUUCAUUUACAUUGGAAAUGCGGAGCACCAUCACAGUAAUUGUUCCAGGGUUGUUCCCACCGCUUGAACAUAGCCACAGAAAUCACUUGAGGCUUGAGACUGAAACCUCUCUUCAGGCCUGAGGUUACAAGGAGUUCUAAUUUUCAAUAAAUAAUUAACCUCCCAAUGAUUAUAGAGAUUUGGGGAGAUGCUCUUAGGCGCUCAAUCAGUGCCCGCCGACUUAAUGGAUGGCAUUAGCUUUUACUUCCCAAAGAGGAAUCUACUAUGGCAGGAAUAUCGCUUACUAAUUGAUCUUAGUUUCCUUUCGUGAGCAGGAGUUCUACUGCCUUGGUCGGAAGCACCCUAACUUUCCGUAAUUCUCAACAGAGGGCUCAAUGUCCAGUGGGAACUUCACAGUAUUUGCCGACAGGUCUUAGAUUGGGCCUCAGGUGAGCUGAGCUGGACUUCAAUGAUCUCCUCUGUGUAACCUUGGGCAAGACCUUGUACCUCCUUGGGGUCUCUGUAGCCUCACCUGAAAAUAAAAGCCUUCGUCAAACGGAUGGGUACCAGGAAGUCGUGAAACAUCCUGGAAUCGUACCCCAAAUGUGGCGAGGUGCGUUUUUCUGGAGCAAGCGUUCAAGCACUCUCAUCUGAUCACUAAAGAGAUCUGCGGCCCCAGUGAGGUUGAGACCAAGAGAUCCAGAGGACCACUAAGAUUCUUUCCGGUUAAAACGUCUGUGAUGUCGAGUGACCUCUGGGUCGUGUUGCAUCUUGCUCUUUGGCCCAUUCCUUCUCUGCCCCUUCACAGCCAGCUGCCUUGGGUCGUCCACAGAGGCGCUGAGGCGGAGAAAUGGAACAGAGCCGGGGAUCACGAUGACGGAGUGUAAUCAGAGGCCACAUUGGGGGGGGGGGUGUGAAACGGUCGGAUCUUCAUGCUCAGUUUCAGGGCACAAUCCAGAACUAAGCCACCACUGUUACAGAGGCUUAGUCAGGCCCCAGAGGAAAACACCAUGAGUAACUACUAUUCAUUUGGGUUUCCC